Molecule: long non-coding RNA, 2041 nt
Organism: Daphnia pulicaria
Lineage: Eukaryota; Metazoa; Arthropoda; Branchiopoda; Diplostraca; Daphniidae
Exons: 2
Source: RefSeq, a predicted model, not a curated record
UAGAAGAUCUCAUUCCGACUAGCACCGGCAUCUAGAGAGGUUCUCUUUUGUGGCCGCGCAUAUCAAAAUACAUAAUUACAGUAAACAUACCAAAGGCAUGUUCUUUUGAUAUAUUGGGCGUUAAAGGCGGCACAGCAUUGUAAUUAAAUUGACCAUAAAACAUGUAUGAAAUGUAAUUUUAUUAAUCUUUAAAUUAAAAAAACUUUAAAAAUUAAAAAUUAAAAUAUUUAUUAAAAUUUAUUUUCUUGUGAAUUCUUGGUUAGGGAUAUGUCAAUGUGCGGACAUAUCCCAUACUUUUUGCCUUCCAUAAUCUCUUUGAUUUGGACCAGAAUUGUGUCUUGCCGCAUGAGCAGCUGCUGCUGCUGCAUGAGCAUCUGCUCCAUAUUUAUUGUUGUUUGUGGUGGAGCUGACAAAGGGGAAGAUGUGGUGGAGACAGGGGAGGCAGAGGUUGCUGCAUGCAAUGAAAAAACAGCAAAAUAUUUAAAAAUGAUGGCAUCCUUGCUUUUAACUGAAUCUUACCAUUGUGGUCACGCCACCAAUACUUUUUCACAAGGGGCCAGAUGAAAUAUUUUAUGGCUAUCAUCAGUAAGAGGCCGAAAGUGCCUUGCAAGAAUGUUAUUUCUUAUUUUUUUUUCAAAACGUCGGCCACAUCACCAGAAAACUUAUCAGGUAUCUUCAAUCCAUUUCGGUUCACCUUAAGAAAAAUCACACAUAAAAAUUUAUUAUUUUCCUUACAAAAGAAAUACGUGUCUUACCUUUCCCAAAGUAGUUUGGGUUGCCACAUCGUAUUAGUAAACUACAACAUGGAAGAAAAUAAGUAAAGGGGACUAUGGUACAAUGGCAAGUUAACUAAAGUGGAUCUUCAGUCCCGAACCAAAAGAAAGAUUACUUAGACGCUCAUGCAAGAUUAUUUCGAUUAUGAAAAAUGAACUGCCAUAUGUGAGAUGAAAUAUAAUGAGAUGAAAUGAAUGAAUUAUGAAUGAAUGAAAUAUACGACAACAACAAACAAAUACUUUUCAAAAUUUUUAUUUAGAUAAGGAACCUCGAUUGCAAUCCACCUUCAAGAAAAUACACACGGAAUGUUUGAACAUUGAUAUCAUCUUGCAUCUCAGUCGUGUGAUGGCCCCAUCAUUGGGGACUGGCUCCCGGGCAGAUCUUGCUCUUCCUCAAUUUUUCUGGCUAAUUGAGAUAGCACCACCUGCACUUCUUUCUGUAAAUAAUCAACACGAUAAAUUAAAAUGUUUUUUGGGCAAUGAAGGGGGAUUGGGUAAGGUGAUAACUUACCACAGUCAGUGACACCUGCUUGCCUCCUGAAAGCUUGUCUUCUUGAAUUUAAAUUUUGAUCUCUCCUCGUGCUCACACCAACACCUGGCUCUCUUUUGCCUACCAGCUUCGUCAAAAGAGUUUCCCAUUUCGAGAUCAUCCUGCGGUUUCUUUGCAGGUUACUUGAACCCUGCAUGAGAAAAAAGAUUUGGAAAAAAGAUUUUAAAAUUUUUUAAAAUUUAGGGCACAAAUAAGGAUACUUACUCUUUGGUUUUGGCCAAUUGCCAAUCCCAUUUUUCACGCAGGACAUACUGCAACGGGGGCCAAAUUACAGAUUUUGCCACAGCAACAGCAGCCAAACCCAGAAUGCCUUCCCCAGAAUGCCUCCAGUUCUGAAUCCAUUGCUGUUAAAAUUGCUGUUAAAAAACGAGUGCGACUGAUGGGAAGGAGUAACGUCAACGUGGUCGGUGAGAGAAAGAGAAAGAAGCGGGAAGACGAAUGAACAGUCCAAGAUUUUACUUUUAGCCUGCGACGUUUUCAGAUAUGGCAAAGUGAUCUAUUUGAUAAAGAACAUUUCUUAUUUUAUAUUUCGGUCAAAUGGAAGGGUCAUGGACGUUCAGGCCCCUGCUUUCAGGCCCACUUUAAAGUGGGCCUGAACGUCUAGUUGUUGGGCCUGAACGUCCAAAAUUUUAAAUAUUUAUUUUUCAGGACAGUGGCGCUAGUAAGCCUGUUUCCGGCAUGUUUACUUGCAAUUCGGUAGGGCGUACACGCAGCUCUA